ACACGACUACAUUAGAUACCCCUGUAGUCCAGGGUGUAAACGCUGCGGGCUUGGUGUUGGGGGUCCUUUGAGGGCGCCCAGUGCCGGAGAGAAGUUGUUAAGCCUGCUGCUUGGGGAGUACGUCCGCAAGGAUGAAACUUAAAGGAAUUGGCGGGGGAGCACCGCAACGGGAGGAGCGUGCGGUUCAAUUGGAUUCAACGCCGGACAACUCACCAGGAGCGACGGUUACAUGAAGGCCAGGCUGAUGACCUUGCCUGAUUUCCG
RNAcentral lists this ribosomal RNA (264 nucleotides) under uncultured archaeon. RNAcentral's name for it is "partial 16S ribosomal RNA". It matches the Rfam family "Archaeal small subunit ribosomal RNA", at positions 717 to 982 of the family's 1478-position model. The record is from RNAcentral.